ACGGUCUUGUUAUUGGAAUGAGAACAAUUUAAAUAACUUAACGAGGAUCAAUUAGAGGGCAAGUCUGGUGCCAGCAGCCGCGGUAAUUCCAGCUCUAAUAGCGUAUAUUAAAGUUGUUGCAGUUAAAAAGCUCGUAGUUGGAUUUCUGGCAGGAGCGACCGGUCACACACUCUGUGUGUGAACUUGCGUUGUCUCUGGCCAUCCUUGGGAAGAUCCUGUUUGGCAUUAAGUUGUCGGGGUCGGGAUUCUCGACGUUUACUGUGAAAAAAUCAGAGUGUUCAACGCAGGCUUACGCCUUGAAUACAUUAGCGUGGAAUAAUGAGAUAGGACCUUGGCGGUCUAUUUUGUUGGUUUGCACGCCGAGGUAAUGAUUAAAAGGGACGGUUGGGGUUCUUCGUAUUCAAUUGUCAGAGGUGAAAUUCUUGGAUUUAUGGAAGACGAACUGCUGCGAAAGCGUCGAACAAGGACGUUCUCAUUAAUCAAGAACGAAAGUUAGGGGAUCGAAGAUGAUUAGAUACCAUCGUAGUCUUAACCAUAAACUAUGCCGAUUCAGGAUUGGCGGUCGUUUGUUCUCGACUCCGUCAGCACUGUAUGAGAAAUCAAAAUCUUU
This 610-nucleotide ribosomal RNA is filed under the name uncultured heterokont. RNAcentral describes it as "bacterial SSU rRNA". It matches the Rfam family "Eukaryotic small subunit ribosomal RNA", at positions 497 to 1108 of the family's 1831-position model. The record is from RNAcentral.